CCUACGGGUGGCAGCAGUGAGGAAUAUUGGUCAAUGGACGAGAGUCUGAACCAGCCAAGUAGCGUGAAGGAUGACUGCCCUAUGGGUUGUAAACUUCUUUUAUAUGGGAAUACAUUGUUCCACGUGUGUGAUUUUGUAUGUACCAUAUGAAUAAGGAUCGGCUAACUCCGUGCCAGCAGCCGCGGUAAUACGGAGGAUCCGAGCGUUAUCCGGAUUUAUUGGGUUUAAAGGGUGCGUAGGCGGAAGGUUAAGUCCGCGGUCAAAUGUCGGUGCUCAACACCGGCCUGCCGUUGAAACUGGUAUGCUUGAGUGAGCGAGAAGUAAGCGGAAUGCGAGGUGUAGCGGUGAAAUGCGUAGAUAUCACGAAGAACACCGAUUGCGAAGGCAGCAUACCGGGGCGAAACUGACGCUGAGGCACGAAAGCGUGGGGAUCGAACAGGAUUAGAUACCCUUGUAGUC
RNAcentral lists this ribosomal RNA (459 nucleotides) under uncultured bacterium. RNAcentral describes it as "partial 16S ribosomal RNA". It matches the Rfam family "Bacterial small subunit ribosomal RNA", at positions 338 to 795 of the family's 1533-position model. The record is from RNAcentral.